RNAcentral lists this ribosomal RNA (281 nucleotides) under Trichuris trichiura (human whipworm). RNAcentral describes it as "partial 18S ribosomal RNA". It matches the Rfam family "Eukaryotic small subunit ribosomal RNA", at positions 511 to 791 of the family's 1831-position model. The record is from RNAcentral. Lineage: Eukaryota; Metazoa; Nematoda; Enoplea; Trichinellida; Trichuridae.
GGAACGAUCGAGCCGUACAUAAGUUCGGCUAAAUCUAUUGGAGGGCAAGUCUGGUGCCAGCAGCCGCGGUAAUUCCAGCUCCAAUAGCGUAUAUUAAAGUUGCUGCGGUUAAACCGCUCGUAGUUGGAUUGCGGAUGUCGACGACGGUCGUCCUAAGCAGGAGUCGUUCCGUCGCUCGUCACCUGUUCGAUCAAGAUUGCCCUGGAUGCUCUUCAGUGAGUGUCCUUGGCGACUUGAAAGUUUACUUUGAGAAAAUGAGAGCGCUCAAGGCAAGCCGUAGU